UUUCCUUUACAAGAAAAUCUGCUGCAAAGCAAACCUGUAGGAAACUGAAGAGUAUGAAAAGAAUCAGCAAAUGUACAAAGCUUGAGAAAUAGGGACUGCUGAAAUUUAUUUCUCCAUUAUUUUUUUUCUUUUCACUUGUGGAAGCUACAUGGAGCAAGAGGAGAAUAUCCUGGCUAUGAAUAUGACACACUGAAAGGAAGUCUGAAGUAUCACCAUGAAUCACUAGCAUAAGUCUUAAUAAAAUCAGACCUAAGCCAGGCCAAGGCUCACUGAAGAAAUUAUGAUUACACUGCUGUGACUGAGCAGACACUAGCUAAUCUCUGCAUAAGAAGUCUAGAGAGUUGCUCCUCUCCUUCAACGAAAAGAGUCAUAACAGUGUUUCUUCAAAGCAGCAAACACAGAGGUGGAAAACAGAGCAGCACUGUGCCAGGAUGGUGGUGUUGGGACUACACUAACAGAAAUCCUAUCACACUGGCAGGAAAAGUGCCUCCAUUGCUCUGGAAAAACCUGUGGCCACUAUAUACUCCAGACCCUACAGGGACAGUUUCAGAGGUGUUCGGCUCGUGAGCUCCGUUUCCAUGGGCCAUGCCUGGAUGUGGGGUGUCAGUGUAAUGGCUGGUGAGGACAACGCAACUGCAGGAAAGUGCUGCAGCUGCCCCGGCGUCACUCUCUGCUCAAGUGCCGAAUUGCUCGCUAGAACCAGGCGCCCCAAGGCACUAACCCAGCCACGGUCCACCGGCACUUCACAAGACACUUGAGAAAAUGCAGGGAGAUUGCUGAUAGCACGGCGGCACUUGCAACUUCCACCAGCAAACUGACAGCCCAGGGUUGUCCCUGCACACAGCCGUGCGUUGGGCUCAGUGUCCCCGCUCUGACCCACCGCUCCUUCCCCCCGGCUGCGGGUAGUGCGUGCAGCAUUCCCAGCGAGGCUAGUGCAUCUCCCUGUUUUUCUGCUCUGCCUUCAUCGCUCUUACUCAUAUUUGCCUGCCCUCUUUCGAAGUGAACGGUUGAUGAGUCCGAGCUCAUCUGCUGGAAACGAUUCAUGCAAUACGCGGGCCCAGAUCUGUGAGGGUUGCCGAAGUGCUUGGUUGACACCGAGGUCUGUAAGAGUCAGCACUCAGCCCUCGGGAACGGGAACUUCUGCCACAGCGUUAAGCGCAGUACCGCUCCAGUGGGCUGUAAUAGCAACAGCCUCACAGUUUGUUCUGGAGGAUAUUUUUGCUCCCAUAUCUGAAUCAAAACGCCUGCUGAAAAGGCUGAUCCUAUAUUAGCACUGCAGUGUAUAUAUAUAUAUGUAUAUAUGCUGUCAGCAUGCUGUUCUCAUAUGGCUAGAAGCAUAUCUCCUAGGUACUCAUCCUCCCUUAUCGUAUAAAGAAAAGGGAGAAUAAAAUGUUACUGAGCCUACUGAAUUUCCAGGGAGAAUAUGACUGAGCUUCUCUGCAAUUUACUUACAAUCUGUCAUGUCUUUUUACAUCAAAUUUACCCUUCCCAGUCAGUCUCUGAGGACCAUGCUUCACACUUGUUUGAAAGAACAAAUCAAAUCUAACACACUUUGGGAACAUGGGAUGCUUAUCAUCGCAGUGUGAUUUCUUAAGUACAUCACUAGCAUGUUUUACAUUGGAUCAGCUAUUCCGGAAUUGGCACAGUUGCUGGGCACGUCUUAAGUUUACGUCGGGAUGGCUCGUGUGCUCUUGCAGCCCUCAGUUGGCCUGGAGACGCAUGGACAAGGUGGGCAGUCAUGUGAAAGACAGGAACAGAUCUCCAGCCACCCAAGCCGAAAGGAUUUGGGACCACUGCUGAGAGAAAAUGCUUAGGGAGCCUGUCUUCUUGCCACAUAAAGAAACCCUAAUAUCACCCAAUAUUCAGAAUAAAGAGAGAUUGGCUCCAAACAGCACAUCAUCCAGUGGUAGGAUCACUGUAUCUCCUCCUGUGUGCUCCUCCAUGUAUCUAAAUGAAAAAAGUAUUAAAUGCACAGGCAGAAACCCUUGUAACAGACCAAGAAAAUUGCCCUAAAGAGUUGGGCAGCAGAGACAGACUCAAACUUCCUCCUUGAGUCAGGUAGUCUGUGGCAUGUCUCUGUCUGAACAAGGAGAAGAUCUAUAGGAAAACUGAGGAAAUUAAAGACAUAAAAUGGAAAUGCUGACAGAUUCUUAACUAAAUGAUAAGGUUUUUAUUAGCAGAUUGCCAAAGUUACACACAAGUAUGUAAAAACAGGCAAACAGGUAAACUAUCAGAUAAAACUGCGUUGUGAGAAACAGGAUUUUAAUUACAUUUUAAAAAUAAUGAUGGUUCAUUAUCUAAGGAUCAGAAUGAGAAUAUUAGUGGUGGCUAAAAGGGAAGGAUUUUUCUCUUCCUCAGUUUCCCGCCAUGGAAAAAAGGACUAAUAAUGAAGACAAAACAAGGCAACAGCUUGCGAAAAUGCAGAGUCAAGCUUACCUGUGGCCCACCUCCACACCAAUCUUGUUUACCCAUCAACACCUCAGGAACAAUUUCUUCUUCAUUCACAUUCCUCAACAGCAGCCUUUAUUAUAUGGUGUACCACAUCCUAACAUUAAUUAGCACUUCACUGGCAGGCUAAGUAUCAUUUUUCAAAAGGACUGCAAUUAACAAAAUAAAAGAAAUCCCUUUUUAGUUCAAGCAGCAACGCUUCUUUCACUCUCUUCAAAGUGAUGGUGUCAAAUUGUUGCUUUCCUCUUGCAGCUUGCUGUAAACUAGCAACAAUGGAAAUAUUUUCCAAAGUGUGAUGGUUUUCACUUGCCUAAUGCCUUUCACCUGAAUAUUUUGAAGCACUUAGCAAAAGCAAAGGGUGGGGAAGGAUAUUGAUUUUCUUUGAUUUUCUUCAGUUCAUAGGGGGAGUUGCAGGCAAAGAGGUAGUAAGAAACUUGCCUCAGGUUACAGAAUGACUCAUCAGCAAAGUCAAUAAAACCUAUUUUUCUUGA
Dromaius novaehollandiae (emu) is the source of this 2939-nucleotide long non-coding RNA. RefSeq lists it as uncharacterized. Lineage: Eukaryota; Metazoa; Chordata; Aves; Casuariiformes; Dromaiidae. The record is from RefSeq and is a predicted model, not a curated record. The transcript has 2 exons.